This is a long non-coding RNA of Leopardus geoffroyi (Geoffroy's cat), 1067 nucleotides long. RefSeq lists it as uncharacterized. The transcript is spliced from 3 exons. The record is from RefSeq and is a predicted model, not a curated record. NCBI's taxonomy places the organism in Eukaryota, Metazoa, Chordata, Mammalia, Carnivora, Felidae.
UCUGUUUUCAGCUGUUAUCAGAGAUAAUUUUUUUUUAUCUGAAUGCUAUAUCUGUAUGGUAGGGCAAACACCUAAUUACCAAAAAUCUGCUCUCCUUAUUGUGCUGUGAAUCACCUCCUCCCCUCUGAAGCCCCAGGCUCCUAUCCCAUUCCUUAGCUCAGGAUGGUCUAUACGCAGCAACUCCUCAGCUUGCCCCUGAGUAUCAUAUUUUCAUGGCGCUCCUCAUACAUAUGUAAUUAUAUUUGUUUUUUCCUGCCUAUCUGUCAUAUGGUAAUUUAAUUAUUAGACCACCAAAUAAUGUUGAAGGGAAGAAGGAAAUUUUUUUCCUCCCCAAUAAUAUGUUCUUAUGAAAUAUUACAGGAAAAGAAUAAGAUCUUAAAAGCCUUCAAAGGAGAAAAAUAAUUAUCAGCAAAGGAGCAGAACCUGAUUUGUAUUAGAUUUUAUUAUAGCAAUACUGGAUACAAGAAGUCAAUAAAGCAAAUUUCCAAAGUAGCCAAUGAAAAUAAGUUUGAAUCUGAUUUAAAUUUGAAUCUAAACAACUAAAAUACCCACCAAUAACAGGAUGAUCAGAUGAGACACAUUAUAGUCAUAUUACAUGCUAUUAUUCAGCAGUUAAAUAUAAUGGCGUCUCUAAGACAUUUUAUUAGUGAAAAAGCAAGUUACAGAAAUAUAUAUGUCAAUCAUGGCUCAACUGGAGAAAGAGAAUCAGUAAGAAAUAUAUAAUAAGAGAUUUAUUGCAAGGACUUGGCUUAUGCAAUUUUCAGGGCUGGCUAGGCAAGCCGGAAAAACAUAGGGCAGGCCAUUAGGAAGGAAUGUGUCUGCAAAUGUCAGACACAAACUGAAACUGCUUCCUCCAGACAGAAUUUCUUCUUCAGGGAAGAUGAAGUUCUUCUGUUCUCACGACCUUGCAAAUAGCUGAAUCAGGUCCACCCAGAUUAUCUAGGAUAAUCUUCCUUCCUGAAAAUCAACUGGUCAUGGACUUUAAUCACAUCUACAAAACACCCUCAAAGCAACACCUAGAUUUUAUUUUUAAGCAAUCUCUAUAACCACGUUGGGCUCAAACUUAC